AGUUCACUGGUUUGGAAGGACUGGUGCAGCAGGAAGGAUAUGUAGCAUCUGGGAGCACAACGAUAUCUAUGUGUAUUCGCUAAUUCUCACACAUACCACCCACCUACACAUACACACAGGCCAAAAUCUUAAAUCUGGAUCCCCAACCUGUUCAUCCCAGCCUCUCCAGCUGACGUUUCAGUGCAGAAACCUCAAGGAGGGCCUACCCUUCUGCCCGCUCCCCUCCCCCACCAGCAGAGUGACUGGUCAC
Alligator sinensis (Chinese alligator) is the source of this 250-nucleotide long non-coding RNA. RefSeq lists it as uncharacterized. The transcript is spliced from 3 exons. The record is from RefSeq and is a predicted model, not a curated record. Lineage: Eukaryota; Metazoa; Chordata; Crocodylia; Alligatoridae.